GACGAACGCUGGCGGCGUGCUUGACACAUGCAAGUCGAGCGGUAAGGCCCUUUUGGGGGUACACGAGCGGCGAACGGGUGAGUAACACGUGGGUGACCUGCCCUCAGCUCUGGGAUAAGCCUGGGAAACUGGGUCUAAUACUGGAUAUGACCUUUCCUCGCAUGGGGUUGGGUGGAAAGUUUUUCGGCUGGGGAUGGGCCCGCGGCCUAUCAGCUUGUUGGUGGGGUGAUGGCCUACCAAGGCGACGACGGGUAGCCGGCCUGAGAGGGCGACCGGCCACACUGGGACUGAGACACGGCCCAGACUCCUACGGGAGGCAGCAGUGGGGAAUAUUGCGCAAUGGGCGGAAGCCUGACGCAGCGACGCCGCGUGGGGGAUGACGGCC
This 385-nucleotide ribosomal RNA is filed under the name uncultured bacterium. Its description in RNAcentral is "bacterial SSU rRNA". It matches the Rfam family "Bacterial small subunit ribosomal RNA", at positions 28 to 416 of the family's 1533-position model. The record is from RNAcentral.